This 380-nucleotide ribosomal RNA is filed under the name uncultured eukaryote. RNAcentral describes it as "partial 18S ribosomal RNA". It matches the Rfam family "Eukaryotic small subunit ribosomal RNA", at positions 592 to 976 of the family's 1831-position model. The record is from RNAcentral.
CAAUAGCGUAUAUUAAAGUUGUUGCGGUUAAAAAGCUCGUAGUUGGAUUUCUGCCGAGGACGACCGGUCCGCCCUCCGGGUGAGUAUCUGGCUCGGCCUGGGCAUCUUCUUGGAGAACGUAACUGCACUUGGCUGUGUGGUGCGGUAUUCAGGACUUUUACUUUGAGGAAAUUAGAGUGUUUCAAGCAGGCACACGCCUUGAAUACAUUAGCAUGGAAUAAUAAGAUAGGACCUCGGUUCUAUUUUGUUGGUUUCUAGAUCUGAGGUAAUGAUUAAUAGGGAUAGUUGGGGGCAUUCGUAUUUAACUGUCAGAGGUGAAAUUCUUGGAUUUGUUAAAGACGGACUACUGCGAAANCANNNGCCAAGGAUGUUUNCAUNGA